CCUACGGGUGGCAGCAGUGGGGAAUCUUCCGCAAUGGGCGAAAGCCUGACGGAGCAACGCCGCGUGAUCGAAUGAAGGCCUUCGGGUUGUAAAGAUCUGUUGACAGGGACGAAUAAGCAAUGCAAAUAGUUGUGUGUAUGACGGUACCUGUUUAGAAAGCUCCGGCUAACUACGUGCCAGCAGCCGCGGUAAUACGUAGGGAGCAAGCGUUGUCCGGAAUGACUGGGCUUAAUGGGCGCGUAGGUGGGCGCUUAAGUCAGGUGUGAAAGCUCCGGGCUCAACCUCGGGACUGCACUUGAAACUGGGUGUCUUGAGGGCAGGAGAGGAAAGUGGAAUUCCUGGUGUAGCGGUGAAAUGCGUAGAUAUUAGGAGGAACACCAGUGGCGAAGGCGACUUUCUGGACUCUCCCUGACGCUGAGGCGCGAAAGCGUGGGUAGCGAACGGGAUUAGAUACCCUUGUAGUC
RNAcentral lists this ribosomal RNA (464 nucleotides) under uncultured bacterium. Its description in RNAcentral is "partial 16S ribosomal RNA". It matches the Rfam family "Bacterial small subunit ribosomal RNA", at positions 338 to 795 of the family's 1533-position model. The record is from RNAcentral.